RNAcentral lists this long non-coding RNA (1139 nucleotides) under Pan troglodytes (chimpanzee). RNAcentral's name for it is "lncRNA (ENSPTRG00000054138.1)". Lineage: Eukaryota; Metazoa; Chordata; Mammalia; Primates; Hominidae. The record is from RNAcentral.
GGCUAAGUGGCAGUAUCUCUUCUUUAGCUUAAUAACUAGUAGUUCUAAUUUGCUAUUUUAUAGUCUUAGCACAUCACACAAGUGAGUGAUGAGGAAGAGGAUGAUGAUGGCUGUGACCUUUUUGCUGACUCUGAGAAGGAGGAGGAAGAUAUUGAGGACAUUGAAGAAAAUACUAGACCUGUAAGGAAGGCUGUAGUUGCUAUCACUUGGCAGGGUUUUAGAACCAAUGACUUUUUUUAUUUUUUGUUGUGACUUACUUUGUACAUCUCUCAUUUUUGCAUAUUUGUCAUUUCAUUUACACUUUGGAAAAUAAUGGCAAGCAUCUCAAAUUGCCUCACAAGUACCACUUGCUUGUCCAGAUGUUAUGAUUUUAUGAGUCAGAUCAUUCAGAAUAUGUCUGGUUCCAGAGUUUGAAGACCGUAGUGCUCCUGUCUCUCUGCCCAUGACCUUUUUCUUAUUUUCUUAUUCAGAUUUUUAAGUAUUAAAGUCAAGUAUUAAAAAAAAUAAGGAAAUAAAGAGCAUCUCCCUUUGAAGGAACAUUUUAUGAGUCCUAUUCCUUGGGUGAGCUGUAUAGGGUACAUAUGUUUAAGUUCAUUUAAUUAAACUCAGUUUUCUCCUCAGUUCAAUUUCUUUGCUCUUGUAUACAUAAUGUUGUUAGGUGUCCAAAGUGAAGUGUACUAGUUUGUUACAAAAAAGAGAUUCUUUUGAUUUCUCCUGCUUUAGAAAAGCAGACCUACUUCGUUUGCAGUGAGCUGGCUGCCCGCAUCAAGGGGGAUGCCGUGGGCUGAGUGGACGAGGAGCCGACAACCUUACCCUCAGGAGAAGCAAAACCUCGGAAGACACUCGAGAAGAAGGAAAGGAGAACUCCUUCAGACGAUGAAGAGGAUAACUUAUUCGCACCCCCCAAGCUGACCGACGAGGACUUCUCACCAUUUGGCUCUGGAGGCAGCCUGUUCAGUGGGGGCAAGGGGCUCUUUGAUUAUGAGGACGAGGAGGUGAGUCCAUGGCACUCAGCAACACUCCCUGCAGCUAGCUGUGUCAGGGGUCCACAGGGAAGAAAUAGGCUUUGCUUGUUGAGUGGGGAAAAACAGUUUCUCAGUUGGAAGUUGCUUCUAUUUUCAUAUUUUGGGACAUUUUGA